RNAcentral lists this non-coding RNA (92 nucleotides) under Variovorax sp. Sphag1AA. Lineage: Bacteria; Pseudomonadati; Pseudomonadota; Betaproteobacteria; Burkholderiales; Comamonadaceae. The record is from RNAcentral.
AGUUUUGGCGGUUCGAGCGGGAGGACGCGAGUCCUGCCGGUUUUUUCGUAAGAACUUCCCCGGUCUUCCAACCCGUUCGAGCCGCCACCCCC